ACAGCAGCAGCCGCGGUAAUACAGAGGGUGCGAGCGUUAAUCGGAUUUACUGGGCGUAAAGCGUGCGUAGGCGGCUAAUUGAGUCGGAUGUGAAAUCCCCGAGCUUAACUUGGGAAUUGCAUUCGAUACUGGUUAGCUAGAGUGUGGGAGAGGAUGGUAGAAUUCCAGGUGUAGCGGUGAAAUGCGUAGAGAUCUGGAGGAAUACCGAUGGCGAAGGCAGCCAUCUGGCCUAACACUGACGCUGAGGUACGAAAGCAUGGGGAGCAAACAGGAUUAGAUACCCGCGUAGUCCCUGUCUCUUAUAC
RNAcentral lists this ribosomal RNA (305 nucleotides) under uncultured bacterium. Its description in RNAcentral is "partial 16S ribosomal RNA". It matches the Rfam family "Bacterial small subunit ribosomal RNA", at positions 505 to 807 of the family's 1533-position model. The record is from RNAcentral.